GACGGAGGGUGCUAGCGUUGUUCGGAAUCACUGGGCGUAAAGGGCGCGUAGGCGGCCUGGCAAGUCGGCUUUGUGAAAGCCCGGGGGUCAACCCCGGAGGUGCGGCCGAGACUGCGAGGCUGGAGGCCGGAAGAGGAGUGUGGAAUACCCAGUGUAGAGGUGAAAUUCGUAGAUAUUGGAUUGAACACCGGUGGCGAAAGCGGGUCUCUGGUCCGGACCUGACGCUGAGGCGCGAAAGCGUGGUGAGCAAACAGG
Molecule: ribosomal RNA, 255 nt
Filed under: uncultured bacterium
Lineage: Bacteria
Description: partial 16S ribosomal RNA
Rfam family: Bacterial small subunit ribosomal RNA
Source: RNAcentral